RNA transcript from Cucurbita maxima (winter squash), 4112 nucleotides. It is a transcript of the gene named conserved oligomeric Golgi complex subunit 1-like, with no coding region annotated. The transcript has 7 exons. The record is from RefSeq and is a predicted model, not a curated record. NCBI's taxonomy places the organism in Eukaryota, Viridiplantae, Streptophyta, Magnoliopsida, Cucurbitales, Cucurbitaceae.
CGUUUCAGACACUUGUGUAAAUUUUAGAGAAGUUCGACAUGGGCGAAAAUUUGGUGUAUAGAAGAAGGCCGAAUCCAAAUCUCAAGCAAAAUCGACAAAAUGUUGCUCUAAUCUAAUCGAAAUCCAUUCCGGAUGCUAAUUUCCUUGCGAUUGAUUCAUGACAUUGGCAUCUUCCUAGUAUCCGAUCCACACCAAUUCCUAAAACGUCAGAAGGGGCAGCCAUGGGAGUACAUUCAGCUUCCUCCAUUGACGGAGGAGGAGGUUACCGAGAUGCCGAAUCUCUGUUUCGAACGAAACCCAUUUCUGAAAUUCGGGAGGUGGAAUCCUCCACCCGUGCGCAGAUCCAGUCCAAGCAAGAGGAGCUACGGCAACUCGUCGGUAACCGUUACCGAGAUCUGAUCGACUCCGCCGACUCCAUUGUUCUCAUGAAGUCGACUUCCCAUUCAAUUUCAUCUAAUCUCUCUUCCAUUCACCUUUCUAUCCGUUCACUUUCAUCUUCGGACUCGCACACGCAUCUUCCUUCUAAUAAUCAUGUUCGUGUUACCCUUUACGCCAUUGCUUGUCGGGUUAAGUAUCUUGUCGAUACUCCUGAGAAUAUUUGGGGUUGCCUCGAUGAGUCCAUGUUUCUCGAAGCCGCUGUUCGUCAUCUUCGAGCGAAGCAUGUGCAGCAAGCUUUGACGACCCACAAUGCCGAUUCGGACCGUAAGUUUCUCUCCAAUUUUCCUCUGCUUCAGCACCAUUGGCAGAUAGUGGAGAGCUUCAAAUCUCAGAUUUCGCAGCGUAGCCGUGAAAGACUACUCGAUCGUGGACUUGGGGUUGGAGCUUAUGCGGAUGCUUUGGCUGCUGUCGCCGUUAUUGAUGAGCUUGAGCCGAAGCAAAUACUCAGUUUGUUUCUCGAUUCGAGGAAGUCUUGGAUUUCUCAAAAAUUAGGUACGUGCGGGAGCAAUGCAACUUGCUCUAUUGUUGUAUCCGUGUUCUGCGAGGUUUUAGCUAUAAUUCAGGUUAGUAUAGGACAGGUCGGUGAGUUAUUUUUGCAAGUUCUGAAUGAUAUGCCAUUGUUUUACAAAGUUAUAUUGAGUUCUCCACCUGCAUCACAAUUGUUUGGCGGAAUUCCCAAUCCGGAUGAGGAAGUUAGGCUCUGGAAGUUAUUUAGGGAUACGUUAGAGUCAGUCAUGGUCAUGCUUGAGAAAGAUUACAUUGCCAAGACCAUGUCGAGUUGGCUAAGAGAAUGUGGAAGAGAGAUCGUUAGCCAGAUCAAUGGAUGGUUUUUGAUCGAUGCCAUUGGAAGUGGCCAGGACCUUGCUUCUGCUGAGAAAUUAAUUAGAGAGACAAUGGAAAGUAAGGAAGUCUUGGAAGGAAGUUUGGAUUGGUUGAGAAGUGUUUUUGGAUCUGAAAUCGAGUUGCCGUGGAGUAGAAUGAGGGAACUUGUUUUGGAAGAUGACUCAGACCUCUGGGAUGACAUAUUUGAAGACGCAUUUGCUUGCAGGAUGAGAACUAUUAUUGACUCAAGGUUCAUGGAAAUGAUUAACGUAGUUAAUAUUUCCGAAUCGGUUCAUCUACCUGAUGAUGUUUCAAGUAAUAAUGGGUACAUGAAUAGACCCUCUACAGGUGGUGGGGUUUGGUUUAUAGAAUUUAAUCCUAAGAAAGCCUGUCCAACUGUGGGAGCAAAAGCAUCUGUAGAGGAGAGUGAUUUUAGUAAUUGUAUCAAUGCUUAUUUUGGUCCAGAAGUCAGUCGAAUCAGAGAUGCAUUUGAAAGCUGUUGUCAGAAUGUGCUUAAGGAUCUUCUAUGUUUCAUAGAAUCUCCGAAGGCAUCAAUAAGGUUAAAAGACCUAGCACCUUAUUUACAGAAUAAGUGUUAUGAAAGCAUGUCAACCAUACUGUUGGAACUAGAAAAAGAGAUUGAUAAUCUAUGUAGUAAUAUGGAAAAUAGUAGGGCUGCUAGUCAGCCUGUUAACCUUGCUCCACUUGUUGAGAGAUCAAUUUUCAUUGGUCGGCUCCUAUUUGCAUUUCAAAAUCACUUGAAGCAUGUUCGUGUCAUCCUUGGUUCACCAAAAUCUUGGGUAAAUGACUCAUCAUCCUCUGUGUUUGAUAAGCAUUCUUUAUUACUGCGACAAUCCAAAAGUCUUCCCAAUUCUCCUCUAAAUGUUAAUUCCCCUGGAAGACAGAUGUCAAAUGAUUCUAGAAGGCAAACAUCACUAGCCACAGCUGCGUUGCUUAGAACUAAAGAAAGUGCAAACCCAAAACUUGAAGAACUGAAUAGGAUUACUCAUGAUCUUUCUGUGAGGUCUCAUAGCUUGUGGAUGUCAUGGUUAUGUAAUGAGCUUUCUGCCAUUUUCUCUAGAGAUCUUGUCCAAGAUGAUGCCCUACUGUCAACAACUCCCUUGAGGGGCUGGGAAGAGACAGUAAUCAAGCAAGAACAAACUGCUGAAGGUCAACCAGAUAUGAAAAUUGCUCUUCCAUCAAUGCCUUCUCUUUAUAUAAUUUCCUUUUUGUUCCGCGCAUGUGAAGAAAUUCACAGAAUUGGAGGUCAUGUUCUUCAGAAGAUAGUUAUUCGAAAAUUUGCAACAACCCUACUGGAAAAGGUUAUAGGUAUCUAUGGGGACUUCAUUUCAUCUAUGGAAGUUGGCGGGCCUCAAUUGUCAGAAAAAGGUGUACUGCAGGUUCUGUUAGAUAUUAGGUUCACUGCUGAUAUUUUAUGUGGGGCUCAUUCUAAUAUGAGUGAAGAGUUGUCCAAAAACCCGAGGGCAAAGUAUGCCCUCAGAAGGAAGCAGAAUAUAAGUGAGGAAAAAUCAGUUAUUGGAGACCGUGUGAAUGCAUUAACAGAUCAUCUUUCGAAAAGGAUUGAUCCAAUUGACUGGCAAACGUAUGAGCCAUAUCUCUGGGAAAAUGAAAGACAGACAUAUCUUCGACAUGCUGUCCUUUUUGGAUUGUUUGUGCAGCUAAAUAGGAUUUACACAGAUACUGUUCAGAAAUUGCCAAGUAAUUCAGAGUCCAAUAUCAUGAGGUGCCUUACAGUUCCUCGUUUUAAAUAUCUUCCCAUCAGUGCUCCAGUCUUGUCUUCAAAAGGAGGAAUGAAGGCGGCUGUUCCAACACCUUCAGAUGACAUCUCCUCAAGGAACUCCUGGAAAGCUUUUACAAACGGAGAGCUUCCUCAGAAAUUAGAUUUGAAUGAUAACUCCAGUUUUGGGGUAGCAGCACCGUUAUUUAAAUCUUUCAUGCAGGUUGGAAGCAGAUUUGGAGAGAGCACCCUAAAACUUGGGUCCAUGUUGACCGAUGGCCAAGUUGGCAUAUUUAAAGAUAGAUCAGCAGCUGCGAUGUCUACAUUUGGUGAUAUUCUACCUGCACAAGCUGCAGGUCUUCUUUCUUCCUUCGCUGCUUCCAGAUCAGAUUAUUGAUGUUCCUUCUAGAUACAUAAUUUUGAUUGACCACUAAAAAGAAAUGAGCGUUCACGGGCAUCAAAGAAAAUACAUGCAAGUUCAAGUUAUGAAGGAUACUAACUCCAGAAUCUGGAUGAGCCAUUGUGACUCUACAGCAUAUGGACGAGUUUUUUUUUUUCGUGAUAGGGAAUCAAACUGCAACAGACCAUCGACAGAGGCGAAUCGAAGGCAGAAGUAUACUAGGAAGUGAGAGGCAAAUUACAGGUACCAAGUCUCCAGCAAGAUUUUCCGAGUUAUAUUUUUCAGUGUUCUCUUACAAAUAAGUGCAUUGGAUAAGAUUGUUCGAUCAUUCACGAACAUAAAUUGCCAAAGAUCAAUUAUAUAUGGGACCAAAGAAUAAUAUAUAUCGGGGGGGUGGAAUACUUUGAAAUUUGUAUGUACAUGCAAAAUUUUCUCUGGCAGUUCACAAAGGCAAGGCUUUUACGUUUGGAUUGGAAGGUGAAGGGCGUUGUUGGUUGGACUGUGGUUCAUUAUUUGUUUGGUUUCAUGCCAUUUGUAUAGGCCAUCAGAGUUAAAAGGGAAAGGGGAAAUUGAGCUUUUCUCACUCGUAACAUACCCGUCCGUACUAUCAUAAAGGGUAAAGGGUAUCCUCCAACGCUCGCACACAACAAUGCUUGAGGUCCCAACCUUUUUCCAUUUUCAUUAUCAUUUAAUACAAUCUCGUUAACGUUUCGU